UUCAGUUCUGUCUGCAAGCACAGGUUAAGUUGAACCUUUCCAGUUCACCAGCUCUAAGAACAUAACCAGCUUCUAUAGUUUAGAUAGGGUCUGUUGCUGCCAAAACUCAUGUGGAAAUGUAAUUGCCAAUGUAAUAAAAUUCAGAAUGUCAUGGAAUUGUGCACUGUUAAGAGGUAUUUGAGCCCAAGGCAGUGACACACAUCUGUAAUCCCAGCUGCUUGGGAGGCUGAGGCAGGCAGCUCACAAGUUCCAGGCCAGCCUUAGCAAGGCCCUGCCUCAAAAUAAAAAGAAAAAAAAAUUAAAGGGCUGGGGAUGAAAGAGUGUUUGCCAAGCACACAUGGAGCCCUGGGUUCCAUCCCCAAUACCACCAGAAAGGAAAACAAAAAAGAGGUGUUUGGGUCAUGGGGGGGUGGUGUCCUUCCUCAUGAAGAUACUAAUGUAGUUCCUGCAGGAGUGGAUUACUUAUCAUGAGAUACGGUUGUUUUCAUAAAGCACGAAGUUCCUUUUGUCCCCAACUCUCUUAGUAUACACCUGCUUGGCCUUCCACUUCUCUCCCUGUCAAAAGCUAAGCAGAUGGAUCUCACCUUGUCAAAUGCU
RNAcentral lists this long non-coding RNA (597 nucleotides) under Marmota monax (woodchuck). Lineage: Eukaryota; Metazoa; Chordata; Mammalia; Rodentia; Sciuridae. The record is from RNAcentral.